RNAcentral lists this ribosomal RNA (1400 nucleotides) under Dickeya zeae. RNAcentral describes it as "bacterial SSU rRNA". It matches the Rfam family "Bacterial small subunit ribosomal RNA". Lineage: Bacteria; Pseudomonadati; Pseudomonadota; Gammaproteobacteria; Enterobacterales; Pectobacteriaceae. The record is from RNAcentral.
UGCAGUCGAGCGGUAGCACAAAGGAGCUUGCUCCUUGGGUGACGAGCGGCGGACGGGUGAGUAAUGUCUGGGAAACUGCCUGAUGGAGGGGGAUAACUACUGGAAACGGUAGCUAAUACCGCAUAACGUCGCAAGACCAAAGAGGGGGACCUUCGGGCCUCUUGCCAUCGGAUGUGCCCAGAUGGGAUUAGCUAGUAGGUGAGGUAAAGGCUCACCUAGGCGACGAUCCCUAGCUGGUCUGAGAGGAUGACCAGCCACACUGGAACUGAGACACGGUCCAGACUCCUACGGGAGGCAGCAGUGGGGAAUAUUGCACAAUGGGCGCAAGCCUGAUGCAGCCAUGCCGCGUGUGUGAAGAAGGCCUUCGGGUUGUAAAGCACUUUCAGCGGGGAGGAAGGGAGCAGGCUUAAUACGUCUGUUCAUUGACGUUACCCGCAGAAGAAGCACCGGCUAACUCCGUGCCAGCAGCCGCGGUAAUACGGAGGGUGCAAGCGUUAAUCGGAAUGACUGGGCGUAAAGCGCACGCAGGCGGUCUGUUAAGUUGGAUGUGAAAUCCCCGGGCUUAACCUGGGAACUGCAUUCAAAACUGACAGGCUAGAGUCUCGUAGAGGGGGGUAGAAUUCCAGGUGUAGCGGUGAAAUGCGUAGAGAUCUGGAGGAAUACCGGUGGCGAAGGCGGCCCCCUGGACGAAGACUGACGCUCAGGUGCGAAAGCGUGGGGAGCAAACAGGAUUAGAUACCCUGGUAGUCCACGCUGUAAACGAUGUCGAUUUGGAGGUUGUGGUCUUGAACCGUGGCUUCCGGAGCUAACGCGUUAAAUCGACCGCCUGGGGAGUACGGCCGCAAGGUUAAAACUCAAAUGAAUUGACGGGGGCCCGCACAAGCGGUGGAGCAUGUGGUUUAAUUCGAUGCAACGCGAAGAACCUUACCUACUCUUGACAUCCAGAGAAGACUGCAGAGAUGCGGGUGUGCCUUCGGGAGCUCUGAGACAGGUGCUGCAUGGCUGUCGUCAGCUCGUGUUGUGAAAUGUUGGGUUAAGUCCCGCAACGAGCGCAACCCUUAUCCUUUGUUGCCAGCACUUCGGGUGGGAACUCAAGGGAGACUGCCGGUGAUAAACCGGAGGAAGGUGGGGAUGACGUCAAGUCAUCAUGGCCCUUACGAGUAGGGCUACACACGUGCUACAAUGGCGUAUACAAAGAGAAGCGACCUCGCGAGAGCAAGCGGACCUCAUAAAGUACGUCGUAGUCCGGAUUGGAGUCUGCAACUCGACUCCAUGAAGUCGGAAUCGCUAGUAAUCGUAGAUCAGAAUGCUACGGUGAAUACGUUCCCGGGCCUUGUACACACCGCCCGUCACACCAUGGGAGUGGGUUGCAAAAGAAGUAGGUAGCUUAACCUUCGGGA